GGGGAAUAUUGGACAAUGGGGGAAACCCUGAUCCAGCGAUGCCGCGUGAGUGAAGAAGGCCUUCGGGUCGUAAAGCUCUUUAGGUUGGGAAGAAGGUUGUAGGGGUAAUAUCCUUGCAAUUUGACGGUACCGACAGAAUAAGCACCGGCAAACUCUGUGCCAGCAGCCGCGGUAAUACAGAGGGUGCGAGCGUUAAUCGGAUUUACUGGGCGUAAAGGGUGCGUAGGCGGCUCUAUGAGUGUGAUGUGAAAGCCCUGGGCUCAACCUAGGAAGUGCAUCGCAAACGAUAGAGCUGGAGUAUGUGAGAGGGUGGCGGAAUUACCGGUGUAGCGGUGAAAUGCGUAGAUAUCGGAAGGAACGUCGAUGGCGAAGGCAGCCACCUGGCACAAUACUGACGCUGAGGCACGAAAGCGUGGGGAUCAAA
This 424-nucleotide ribosomal RNA is filed under the name uncultured bacterium. RNAcentral's name for it is "bacterial SSU rRNA". It matches the Rfam family "Bacterial small subunit ribosomal RNA", at positions 356 to 772 of the family's 1533-position model. The record is from RNAcentral.